UUUCCCGGACUUGAUUCUCAGGGAUUUGGAGACAUGGUACAGUACUUUCUGAACAGUGUUCCUUGCCAAGGAAUCUCCUUUCCCUGCUGGUUUGACAAUAAAUGGAUUGGUGAACCUUUAGAAGAAAAGGACAAGCUGGUCCUAAAAUUCAUAUGAGUUGCAAGAGACUACAAAAUAGCCAAAACAUCUUGAACAAAAGUUGGAGGACUCACACCUUGAUUGUAAAGCUUACCAUAAAGCUACAAUAAUCAAACCACAGCAGUACUGACAUAAGGAUAGGCGUAUAUAGAUCAAUGAAAUUGCAUGGAGAAUCUAGAAAUAUAUGAUACAUUUGCGGUCAGUUAAUUUUUGACAAGGGUGCUGUGAUGUUUCAACUUGACUAGGCUAUGAAGCCCAGUUGUUUGGUCAAACCCUAGUCUAGAUGUUGCUGGGAAGGUAUUGUGGAUGUGAGUAACAUUUAUAAUAGUUGAUCUAAGUAAAGCAGAUUACCCUCAA
Odocoileus virginianus texanus is the source of this 495-nucleotide long non-coding RNA. RefSeq lists it as uncharacterized. Lineage: Eukaryota; Metazoa; Chordata; Mammalia; Artiodactyla; Cervidae. The record is from RefSeq and is a predicted model, not a curated record.